UCACCUAGAAGAAUAUUUGAAGAUACAACUCAGUACUGUCUUCCUUUAAUCACAGCAACAGUAUUGAAUUAUGAUUCUGUGCUAAAUACAGAGGAGAAGCUGACAACCUAUAUUUUACUCCUCAAAAAAGAAAAUAAAAGGCUUAACUCAUUCAGGCAAUAUUCUGUAUUUCAGUACCUGGUGAAAAAUCCUUGCCUGGCCAAAUAAUUUGAUUCUUUGUGCUGGAAAGUGACAGGAUUCAUUCAGAAGCCCCAAGCUUCCUCCUGGCUUGAAGUAAGUGACAAUUCUUUCUCUGAUUCUCUACUUGGUGACCCCAAACCCCAUAAAAUAUGAUUCUCUGUCUGCUGUGGUUAAUGUGUUCCUGUAUCUGUCUCUCCCAACAUGGAAAUAUAGCAUUUUGCUUAUAAUUUCGAGGGAUCCAGAGGUCCCCAGGAACACAUCUCUGAACCUAAGGGUGCAUGGGACCCAGAAAAAAUAUUUUCCUCCAAAGUUUACUGAGCAACAAAAUCUACUGGGUCGGUGAGAGCCCUUGGAACUGAGCCAGCUGUAUUCCCAAAAUCAACAAGCUCUUUUUCACAUGCUACACUCA
Odocoileus virginianus texanus is the source of this 589-nucleotide non-coding RNA. Lineage: Eukaryota; Metazoa; Chordata; Mammalia; Artiodactyla; Cervidae. The record is from RefSeq and is a predicted model, not a curated record.